Molecule: long non-coding RNA, 440 nt
Filed under: Anas platyrhynchos platyrhynchos (common mallard)
Lineage: Eukaryota; Metazoa; Chordata; Aves; Anseriformes; Anatidae
Description: lncRNA (ENSAPLG00000019249.1)
Source: RNAcentral
GGCCACUCGCUGGCUGGGCACAGGGACGGGUGGCACCAGGGCACCCCGGCCGCACAGAAGCGCUCUCGGAGCCCCCCGGGCACGGGGACGGUGCGGGGGCAGUACACAGGUGGGUGCAGGGCAGGCUGACCCCACAGGGCGGGUGAUGGGGGCUGCCCUCCCCUGGCCCUGCUGACACCGGGACUUGCAGGGACGCGGUACCGGGUGCCACCGCCCGGCACCCCGGCACCCCGAGGAGAGCCGAGCACCCCGGGGUGCCCCCAGUGCCACGGGAGCAGGAUGGCACCAGCCGGACCCACGACGGGCGACGCCGUGCGGCAGCCCCAGCAGAGCACCCCCAGGACACGGCGCUGCCCCACGUGCCGGGCACCCCGAGCUGGCCCCACGGCGAGCAGCAGGGACGGAGCCGCACACGGUGCGUGGCAGGGGCAGGCCUGGCU